RNAcentral lists this ribosomal RNA (410 nucleotides) under uncultured bacterium. RNAcentral's name for it is "bacterial SSU rRNA". It matches the Rfam family "Bacterial small subunit ribosomal RNA", at positions 370 to 772 of the family's 1533-position model. The record is from RNAcentral.
AAUGGGCGCAAGCCUGAUCCAGCCAUUCCGCGUGCAGGAUGAAGGCCUUCGGGUUGUAAACUGCUUUUGUACGGAACGAAACGGUUCUCUCUAAUACAGGGGGCUAAUGACGGUACCGUAAGAAUAAGCACCGGCUAACUACGUGCCAGCAGCCGCGGUAAUACGUAGGGUGCAAGCGUUAAUCGGAAUUACUGGGCGUAAAGCGUGCGCAGGCGGUUUUGUAAGACAGAUGUGAAAUCCCCGGGCUUAACCUGGGAACUGCGUUUGUGACUGGUGGGCUUGAGUGCGGCAGAGGGGGGUGGAAUUCCACGUGUAGCAGUGAAAUGCGUAGAGAUGUGGAGGAACACCGAUGGCGAAGGCAGCCCCCUGGGUCGACACUGACGCUCAUGCACGAAAGCGUGGGGAGCAAA